GACGAACGCUGGCGGCGUGCUUAACACAUGCAAGUCGAACGGAAAGGCCCUGCUUUUGUGGGGUGCUCGAGUGGCGAACGGGUGAGUAACACGUGAGUAACCUGCCCUUGACUUUGGGAUAACUUCAGGAAACUGGGGCUAAUACCGGAUAGGAGCUCCUGCUGCAUGGUGGGGGUUGGAAAGUUUCGGCGGUUGGGGAUGGACUCGCGGCUUAUCAGCUUGUUGGUGGGGUAGUGGCUUACCAAGGCAUUGACGGGUAGCCGGCCUGAGAGCGUGACCGGCCACAUUGGGACUGAGAUACGGCCCAGUCGCCUACCGGAGGCAGCAGUGGGGAAUAUUGCACAGUGGGCGGAAGCCUGAUGCAGCAACGCCCCGUGCGGGAUGACGUCCUUCGGGUUGUAAACCGCUUUCGCCUGUGACGAAGCGGGAGUGACGGUAAUGGGUAAAGAAGCACCGGCUAACUACGUG
This 468-nucleotide ribosomal RNA is filed under the name uncultured bacterium. RNAcentral describes it as "partial 16S ribosomal RNA". It matches the Rfam family "Bacterial small subunit ribosomal RNA", at positions 28 to 507 of the family's 1533-position model. The record is from RNAcentral.